Non-coding RNA from Phalacrocorax carbo (great cormorant), 1660 nucleotides. The record is from RefSeq and is a predicted model, not a curated record. NCBI's taxonomy places the organism in Eukaryota, Metazoa, Chordata, Aves, Suliformes, Phalacrocoracidae.
CCCUGGGGAGCCCGUUCCAGGGCUCCACCACCCUCAGGGUGAAGAACCUUUUCCUAAUAUCCAACCUAACCCUCCCCUGGCACACCUUCCUGCCAUUCCCUCGGGUCCUAGAUAUGAAAAGCCAUGUCAGCUGCCCUGCCUCCCCAGGUCUCUGAAGCACUCUCUGACAGGGGCAUUCCCUUUGCUCACCACCACCACCACCACCUCCCGGCACAGCUCUCCGAGCUCGGUUUCUCACAGGAGCCCCUCCCUGGCCUACAGAGCUUCAGAGCCGCCAGAGCCCGGGUUCUGACGCUGCACUGCGCCUUCCGACAGACAACAUUUACUCGGCAUUAAGGGGGUCGCCCACGGCGAGCCAGGCGUCACGAGUGACACGUCAGAGCAGUUGCCUAAGAAGCAUGUGGGAUGUUUGCAGAAGACGCCUUUGCUGGAUUCACACCUCUCAACUCAAAACACCUCUCUUGUAAUGUCAAUAUUUGAAGAUAAUAGUCUGGGUUCAGAGAAGAGGCACAGUUCUUCUAGGGAACAAGAAGUCUCGUCUAUUUUAUAUGAUGAAAUUUGUGUGUCUCCUCACUGACUUGGAAAGGAGCUUAUGGCCACUCCCUUGGAAGAUACUAAUGUCUCUGUGGCAAUCUGCACCUAACCAGGACGUGAAUGGGAUCAUGAAGGACCACAUCUUCCACAGUUGAACCUUAACAUCUGUUUAAAUCAACUAUGAAACUGCUCAGGAAGCUGCAAAACUUCACAGUGUGAAAUUUUUACUGUUAGGCACCUCCAUCAUCAAACUUUAAAGGGUUCACAUACUGAAAAACACCCUGCACUAAAUUGUUCAAGGUGCAUUUGUGCACAUGUGUUUGUGCGUGCUUCUCUGCCUGUUUCAGGAAGCAAGGGAGAGUGCUAUUUGGAUGAAAAUCCAAGUUGUUUCACAUGAAGCCAGGAUGAGGCAGGAUUUGCAUUCUGUGCUCACAUCUGGCUUGUUGGCACUGAUCAAGAAGGAGAAAGGAGCCAGAAACUGCCUGCGGAGCAGGACAGAAGGGAGUUACAGUUAUUGGAGGAGACCGUUUGGCUAGUCCAGACAUAAGAGAUGCGGACACUGUGCCUUGUCACCUCCUGUGACUUAUUUCUAUUCUGGGGAUGAAGAAAGCUUGAAAGGUCGGUGAUUUUCCCAUGGGGUAGAUCCAAUCAAAGAUUCUCUUCUGGGGGAUGAACUAGGGCUGCUUAAAAGUAGUUCCCUGCCGCACUACCUUUUCUUUCAACAACCAGAGGUAUCAGGAGGGAAUGAUAAAUGAACUGAGCCUGAAUUUCCAUGGAUUAACAUCUCUGCUUCCCAGGAAUUGAGGGCAGUUAAUAAAUCUCAGAAGGUUGCUCAGCAACUCUCAGGAUGGUUGCCUUCUUUUAUACUGAGCUGCAGAAUGCAUCGGUUUUGACUAAACAUGUCCUUGGAAGAAGCAUUCUUUGUCUGGAGAACAGACCGAGUUGAACUCUGGAAAUGACAGGAUUGCCGAGAGCUGGAAAAAACCUCCAUUUCACUGUCAGAAAGCUUUUUUGUAUUUUCCUUUUCUCCCAACUGCAGGCUCCCAGGAACUCUUUCUUUAGGAGUCAAAUGUCUCCUGUUUCCUCUCUGUGCUUGUGCAAUAAACAAACACUAUUUUUACAGUGA